UUUCAAACAGGGGAUUUACCUUCAAUUCGACGUCGAUUAUCGUCGACGCAAACAGUUUGACAGUUCUCUUCAGUUGAUCUUGUUCGGACUUGAUCAAAUCAGAAAAACAAUAUUGUUGUAAAGGUUCGUGAGGAUUUUGGCUGGUUGAUUGACUUCCUGAUUUCAGCCUUCGCGACGGUGGAAGAGAACGUGAAACAUCGUUAACCCGGCGGAUCAUGCCGGAAGAUGGGACGGGAAGGAACCGGUCUGCGAUCGAAAGCGGAUUGGGAUUAUCGAGCGGUCGGUAUUGGAAGUUUGGUCCAGCCACUUUUCUUGGAGGAUGGUAAAACGACCGAAACGUUCUUUCCAGUGGUCGAUCCGGAUACGACGGCACAAUCCGUCGUCUACCGAGAGCAUUGCACGGCCACUUACCUGCUUCAAACACCUCAAGGGAUAACGCAUCGGAACUAAUCCGGAAGGACCGAAUUGCGGUUUCAAUGUUAUGGUCGAGUUCUUCUUCCGGUUAUCGGACUAAGUUUGGAAAGUUUCUCUAGUGCAAUUAUUCAGAUAUUCCGAAGGAAAAGCGUUUCCAACUUCACUCGACGGAAACUGCUCAGAAGGUGUUAAAAAUGUCACCGCGCUAUCGCUGUCGAAUCACUCUUCAUCGUGCAAUCAUCCGGUCGGCAAGACUGCCAAAUCCAAACCCUAAUGAACCAUUAAUUUACACACGUUGAACAGUAAACUGUACUAUCGAUAUUAUAUUUAAAUGUGAGCAUUAACUGAAAAUAAAACAAUUAAAUCUAUUUUUAAUUGCAAAAAAAGCUAAAAGGGUUUAUUGAAUAAAAAAUUCGGAUGUUUCAUUCAACCCCACAUGUUUGUAGGUUCAACAAACAUGUUUGUUACACCGACCAUAAUGAUUAUUGGAAUUACAAACAAGCUACGUUUUAAUGGCAACUAUUUCGUUUAUCAAACCCACAAACUUGUUAGGUUGAAUUUGAUAAACAUG
Long non-coding RNA from Culex pipiens pallens (northern house mosquito), 985 nucleotides. RefSeq lists it as uncharacterized. NCBI's taxonomy places the organism in Eukaryota, Metazoa, Arthropoda, Insecta, Diptera, Culicidae. The record is from RefSeq and is a predicted model, not a curated record. The transcript is spliced from 4 exons.